AAACUAACAAGGAUUCCCCUAGUAGCGGCGAGCGAAGCGGGAAGAGCUCAAAUUUGUAAUCUGGCACCUUCGGUGUCCGAGUUGUAAUCUCGAGAAGUGUUUUCCGCGCCAGACCGCAUACAAGUCUGUUGGAAUACAGCGUCAUAGUGGUGAGAACCCCGUAUAUGAUGCGGAUGCCUGGUGCUCUGUGAUACACUUUCGAAGAGUCGAGUUGUUUGGGAAUGCAGCUCAAAUUGGGUGGUAAAUUCCAUCUAAAGCUAAAUAUUGGCGAGAGACCGAUAGCGAACAAGUACCGUGAGGGAAAGAUGAAAAGCACUUUGGAAAGAGAGUUAACAGUACGUGAAAUUGUUGGAAGGGAAACGCUUGAAGUCAGACUUGCUAUUUGGAAUUCAGCCGCAAGGUGUAUUUUUCAAUUUGCAGGCCAGCAUCAGUUUUCGGGGGUGGAAAAGGAUUAGGAGAAGGUAGCAGUUUCGGCUGUGUUAUAGCUCUUAAUUGGAUUCAUCCCUGGGGACUGAGGAACGCAGCUUCGGCUUAGGAUGCUGGUGGAAUGGCUUUAAACGAC
Molecule: ribosomal RNA, 562 nt
Filed under: Pseudohyphozyma bogoriensis
Lineage: Eukaryota; Fungi; Basidiomycota; Microbotryomycetes; Chrysozymaceae
Description: eukaryotic LSU rRNA
Rfam family: Eukaryotic large subunit ribosomal RNA
Source: RNAcentral